Non-coding RNA from Dipodomys ordii (Ord's kangaroo rat), 65 nucleotides. The record is from Rfam. Lineage: Eukaryota; Metazoa; Chordata; Mammalia; Rodentia; Heteromyidae.
GUGUGUGAAUGAUAACUACUGACGAAAGAGCUACCCACUCAGUUAGUGGUUGGAUGUUGCCACAU